This 253-nucleotide ribosomal RNA is filed under the name uncultured bacterium. RNAcentral's name for it is "partial 16S ribosomal RNA". It matches the Rfam family "Bacterial small subunit ribosomal RNA", at positions 524 to 776 of the family's 1533-position model. The record is from RNAcentral.
UACGGAGGGUGCAAGCGUUAUCCGGAUUCACUGGGUUUAAAGGGUGCGUAGGUGGGUUGGUAAGUCAGUGGUGAAAUCCCCGAGCUUAACUUGGGAACUGCCAUUGAUACUAUCAGUCUUGAAUACCGUGGAGGUCAGCGGAAUAUGUCAUGUAGCGGUGAAAUGCUUAGAUAUGACAUAGAACACCAAUUGCGAAGGCAGCUGGCUACUCGAAUAUUGACACUGAGGCACGAAAGCGUGGGGAUCAAACAGG